UGAAGCUGUACAUAAACGCAUACCUCGAACUUGAGCUGAACAAAUCAAUUGAACUCUUUCUUCUCACAACCAACACAACUCUUUUUGAUGUUUCCAGAGAGAUUGAAGUUCUUGAGAAACUUUCAUUAGCUGUCUAAAUGAGGUCAUUGAGAGAAGAACUGCACUCUUUUCAAGGGAUGUGGGACAGAUUUUUU
This is a non-coding RNA of Misgurnus anguillicaudatus (oriental weatherfish), 194 nucleotides long. The record is from RefSeq and is a predicted model, not a curated record. NCBI's taxonomy places the organism in Eukaryota, Metazoa, Chordata, Actinopteri, Cypriniformes, Cobitidae.